UUGAGAGUUUGAUUCUGGCUCAGAACGAACGCUGGCGGCAGGCCUAACACAUGCAAGUCGAACGAAGGCCCGGAGCUUGCUCCGGUGUCCUUAGUGGCAGACGGGAUAGUAACGCGUGGGAAUUUGCCCAGUAGUACGGAAUAACUGCGGGAAACUGCAGCUAAUACCGUAUACGCCCUCCGGGGGAAAGAUUUAUCGCUAUUGGAUAAGCCCGCGUCGAAUUAGCUUGUUGGUGAGGUAAAAGCUCACCAAGGCGACGAUUCGUAGCUGGUCUGAGAGGACGAUCAGCAUCACUGGGACUGAGACACGGCCCA
RNAcentral lists this ribosomal RNA (314 nucleotides) under Alexandrium margalefii. RNAcentral's name for it is "partial Bacterial small subunit ribosomal RNA". It matches the Rfam family "Bacterial small subunit ribosomal RNA", at positions 1 to 333 of the family's 1533-position model. Lineage: Eukaryota; Dinophyceae; Gonyaulacales; Pyrocystaceae. The record is from RNAcentral.